RNAcentral lists this ribosomal RNA (253 nucleotides) under uncultured bacterium. RNAcentral describes it as "partial 16S ribosomal RNA". It matches the Rfam family "Bacterial small subunit ribosomal RNA", at positions 524 to 776 of the family's 1533-position model. The record is from RNAcentral.
UACGUAGGGUGCAAGCGUUAAUCGGAAUUACUGGGCGUAAAGCGUGCGCAGGCGGUUUGUUAAGGCAGAUGUGAAAUCCCCGGGCUUAACCUGGGAACUGCAUUUGUGACUGGCAAGCUAGAGUAUGGCAGAGGGGGGUAGAAUUCCACGUGUAGCAGUGAAAUGCGUAGAGAUGUGGAGGAAUACCGAUGGCGAAGGCAGCCCCCUGGGCCAAUACUGACGCUCAUGCACGAAAGCGUGGGGAGCAAACAUG